This is a non-coding RNA of Cicer arietinum (chickpea), 128 nucleotides long. The record is from RefSeq and is a predicted model, not a curated record. Lineage: Eukaryota; Viridiplantae; Streptophyta; Magnoliopsida; Fabales; Fabaceae.
CUUUAAUUCAAAAUCUAUUUUCUGGAGAAGAUGUUAAUGAUAUAAUACAAGCUGCAAGACAGGUUCCUGAUGCUACUAGUGCUCAAAACCAUUUGAAUUCACUUAGUCCAAACAACAACGAAAAUAAU